CCUACGGGUGGCAGCAGUGGGGAAUAUUGCGCAAUGGGCGAAAGCCUGACGCAGCGACGCCGCGUGAGGGAUGAAGGUCUUCGGAUCGUAAACCUCUGUCAGCAGGGAAGAACGGUCACUUUGCUAAUCAGCAGUGAAUUGACGGUACCUGCAAAGGAAGCACCGGCUAACUCCGUGCCAGCAGCCGCGGUAAUACGGAGGGUGCGAGCGUUAACCGGAAUUACUGGGCGUAAAGCGCUCGUAGGCGGUAUGCCAAGUCAAGGGGGAAAUCCCCGCGCUCAACGUGGGAACUGCCUUUGAAACUGGCAAACUGGAGUGUGUGAGAGGAUAGUGGAAGUCCAGGUGUAGGAGUGAAAUCCGUAGAUAUCUGGAGGAACAUCAGUGGCGAAGGCGACUAUCUGGCACAUAACUGACGCUGAGGAGCGAAAGCGUGGGUAGCAAACAGGAUUAGAUACCCCAGUAGUC
This 465-nucleotide ribosomal RNA is filed under the name uncultured bacterium. RNAcentral's name for it is "partial 16S ribosomal RNA". It matches the Rfam family "Bacterial small subunit ribosomal RNA", at positions 338 to 795 of the family's 1533-position model. The record is from RNAcentral.